GUGCUUGCUUAGGCAGCACAUAUACUAAAAUUGGAAUGCUACAGAGAAAAUUAGCAUGGCCCCUGCCCAAGGAUGACACCCAAAUUCAUGAAGCGUUCCUUUUUUUU
This is a small nuclear RNA of Bos grunniens (domestic yak), 107 nucleotides long. The record is from Ensembl. Lineage: Eukaryota; Metazoa; Chordata; Mammalia; Artiodactyla; Bovidae.